Molecule: ribosomal RNA, 280 nt
Filed under: uncultured bacterium
Lineage: Bacteria
Description: partial 16S ribosomal RNA
Rfam family: Bacterial small subunit ribosomal RNA
Source: RNAcentral
GAUGAACGCUGGCGGCGUGCUUAAGACAUGCAAGUCGAACGGAGUGUGUAGCAAUACUCACUAAGUGGCGAAUGGGUGAGUAACACGUAGGUGACCUGCCCUGAAGUGCGGAAUAACAGUCCGAAAGGAUUGCUAAUACCGCAUGUGGUCCCGGGCGUUAGAGAACCGGGUCUAAAGCAGUAAUGCGCUUCAGGAGGGGCCUGCGGUCCAUCAGCUAGUUGGUAGGGAAUGGCCUACCAAGGCAACGACGGAUAGGGGACCUGAGAGGGUGGCCCCCACC